Molecule: unclassified non-coding RNA, 229 nt
Filed under: Hevea brasiliensis (rubber tree)
Lineage: Eukaryota; Viridiplantae; Streptophyta; Magnoliopsida; Malpighiales; Euphorbiaceae
Source: RNAcentral
UAAACAUCUAGUAAAUAAUGCGAUCAAAUCCAUUAAACAAAUCUUAUUAACCAACGAACUAAAACAGAACCACUGAUUUAGAAUUCAACAUAAGCACGAUCUAGAUUCUCAUGUUCCAAUGAAUAAAAAUGGAUCCAGUUUAGGACCUAAGGCAAAGACUCAGACGCAACUUCUGUACUUAAUCAAACAAAGAUCUCCAAAUCCAUACUCGAAUCAAGAAAAUGCACUC